Danio rerio (zebrafish) is the source of this 1872-nucleotide non-coding RNA. The record is from RefSeq and is a predicted model, not a curated record. NCBI's taxonomy places the organism in Eukaryota, Metazoa, Chordata, Actinopteri, Cypriniformes, Danionidae.
AUUCAGAAAUAGUUUUGAAAUAAAUCUUUGCGCUUAACAAACUAAAUCAAAUAUGGAGGUUAAUGGAUGUCUUUAUUGAAGUGAGUUUCCACAGUUUUCUUGUCCACAAAAGUAAAGGAGUAAAGAGUAAAAGUAAAGAGGAGGCUCAUUCUUUAUCCUUGUGCUGCAGAUAGUCUGUCUAACUGUUUUGUCACUAGUAAAGCAAUUAGUUUUUCCAUUCAGUUUAUCCACUUACAAAGUCUGCCAUGUAAAUAGGAAAUGCGACGCAACUGACUCUGACUCCCAAAGGGAAUGGGAGCUGAGUCUGAUUGGUUUAAUGCACAUUAUGCUUAAAACACACCCAUAACUCAUUAAGAGAAUAAGCAGAACCCUGUUAGACCAUGCACUGCGGCGCAGAGCGUAUUUUUCUGUUCUUAAAAUGGGCAAAGUGGAUUCGGACGCCCUUAUUGCUUUUGCACUAUGCACUUUAGACUUUGUGCCUAUAUUGUUAAAAUAGAGCCCUAAGUCAUCAUUUACUCAUCUUCCACUGUGCUGAGCAUAAAAAAAAACAUAUUUAGAGAAUUUGUAAACCUAAUUGUGGACCAUCAACUCACAGUAAUGUUUUUUUUUUUUUCACAGUAAACAUUUUCUUUUAAAUAUCUUAUUUUUGGUCAGCAGAAAAAUGGUUUAGAAAUAUUUGAGAUUGAGUAAAUAUUGAGCAAAAUUUUAUUUUUGGGUAAACUACCCCUUUAAGACUUUAAAUGCAAAGGACAUCAGCACUGAGCUGAUUUGCAAAGAUAUACAGAAAAAUUGUAAAAAGCCACAAGCAUUUUUUUAAUUAUUAUUGAAUUGUCAAUACUAUUAUAGUUCUAGACUGCAUGAGGUUGGAGACAAACGUUUGCUAUCACUGUUUUAAAAAAAGACUCUAUGUGUCUGUGUGUGUGUCACUGCAGGAUCAAGUGAGAGAAGCAGAUGGGUAAAAAGCAUAUUUGUGUUGGGUAGUUACUUCAGGUGAAAGUGAAAGAGUUGAUGGGGAGAAAUUGUGAUCACACAUCUACAGGUGAGCACACAGAAUCCCAGAGCUGUUUAAGACCAAUAUUCAGGAUUCAAGCUCAUGGUGUCCACCUGGGAGACAGAGAUGAGUAUUUCACUCACAUACUGUGCAUGUGAGCCCACAGAAGAGCCAACUUGAUAGACUCCAUUACCCAAAACUAAACCUUGGCACAAAAAAGUCAGAGAAGGAAGGACCCUGUGUGUUGUCUUGAUUACCUCCCCAGGGGACCCUCACUGUGGAACCACUUUAAAGAUAAAUACCCAAAUGAUGUUUUCAAACUGUGGUCGCCUCAGCACGGAGUUGAAACAAUAUCAGUGAGCUGGAGCUGAUGGGAGUUGACACGUCUCUUUUACCCCGCACUCGGGCUGAUUGAGAGCGGAGAAUAAAGAGAAGAUGGCGACUAUAAACACCAUGCCUUUCCUUUUCGCUUUCUUCCUCCCGCUUUCAUCGUUUGUUCUUUACACCAAUGUUUUUCUUCAUGUCUCAUGUCUUUUGACCACAUCCUUCUCUGAUUCCAGGUCUGGAAGCCUCUUCAGUCCGUUGGCAUGUGGCAGAUGGCUGCCCAGUUUGUGGUCUCCUCUCCUUGUGCUCUCAUCUGCCUAUCAAAACAGGCACCCUGAUCACAUGACCUCAAGCCGGCAUCAUGUGAUCCUCUGUCGCUUUUCCAUUAAGCAAGAUUUAGUGAUUCUAAACAGUGUCCAGCGGUUUAACAACCAGCUGAUUUCCCUUUUCUCAUGUACUGUCUUGAAUUCAAUUAGUAAUUCCUCAGUGAAACUGUCUGUUCUUCAUAACAGAUCAAAGUUUGAUGAUUACAGUGGAUAAAUAAAAUGUUACAACAC